Molecule: ribosomal RNA, 555 nt
Filed under: Triticum aestivum (bread wheat)
Lineage: Eukaryota; Viridiplantae; Streptophyta; Magnoliopsida; Poales; Poaceae
Description: partial small subunit ribosomal RNA
Source: RNAcentral
AUGGCGGUCGCAGGUGGUCUCUACACCAACGACGGCACCACGGGAUUCAUUGCAAAAUCAGAAGGCUGGUUCCCCAAGAUCUACGAUCUGAUUCAUGUCAAUCCUCAUAAAGAAGAUGUCUGGCGUUUCCUGGUUGAACUUGGUGGGCAGGUGCUCAUCCUCGUCAGGCUGCGGGGGCGCGUCAAGGUUUUCAAGUACGACGACGCCGAGCCCGUGCCCGUGGAGAGCAUCGGCAGCCAUGCCAUCUUCGUCGGUCACCACAGGUGCCUCGCCGUGGAAGCCGACAGGUUCCCGUCCGUCGAGGCAAACUGCAUCUACUACAUUGAUCGACGGGGUUUGUCAGCCCACAUCUGCAUGUACAGCCUCAGGGACGAGAAAGAGGAGAGGGUCUCUGCUGGGGCCGUCGAUUUCGUGAAGCCGCACAAGCUGUUAGUCCUCGUCGCCGACCGCCCCUUCACCGUCAUCCAGCUUCUCUGCAGCUACACCAUCAACGCCCGGGAUUCUCAGCUGCCGUUGAAAGAAGACGCCGACAACUUUGACAAAAAAUCGUUUUAA